RNAcentral lists this ribosomal RNA (263 nucleotides) under uncultured bacterium. Its description in RNAcentral is "partial 16S ribosomal RNA". It matches the Rfam family "Bacterial small subunit ribosomal RNA", at positions 95 to 354 of the family's 1533-position model. The record is from RNAcentral.
CCGGCGCACGGGUGAGUAACGCGUAUGCAACCUGCCCGGCACAGUGGGAUAAUCCGGAGAAAUCCGGUCUAAUACCGCAUGACGCGGGAAAGGCGCAUGCCUUUUCCGCCAAAGGAGGCGACUCCGGUGCCGGCUGGGCACGCGUGACAUUAGCUAGUUGGCGGGGCGACGGCCCACCAAGGCGACGAUGUCUAGGGGUUCUGAGAGGAAGGUCCCCCACACUGGUACUGAGACACGGACCAGACUCCUACGGGAGGCAGCAG